This 67-nucleotide transfer RNA is filed under the name Xanthomonas citri pv. bilvae. RNAcentral's name for it is "Pseudo tRNA". RNAcentral also lists the same sequence under 3 other names. The record is from RNAcentral. Lineage: Bacteria; Pseudomonadati; Pseudomonadota; Gammaproteobacteria; Lysobacterales; Lysobacteraceae.
GGGUAUCGGCUCCUGGUGGAGCGGCGGCGCAAGCCGUAGGCCUGGUUCAAUUCCGGAAUACCCACCA